This 357-nucleotide long non-coding RNA is filed under the name Zostera marina. RNAcentral describes it as "long non-coding RNA (ZMAR_LNC002181)". Lineage: Eukaryota; Viridiplantae; Streptophyta; Magnoliopsida; Alismatales; Zosteraceae. The record is from RNAcentral.
UUCAUCUGACACAUAUCGAUAGCUACCCGCGCCUGUUGCACGCCCUGUUUGAGUGAAUAUAGACAACGAAUCAGCCAAGCCUACAUCACCACCAUCAAAGUUUCUUGACUUCUUCGUAAAUUUUGUUUCAAAAUCUUUGUCGGGUAUAAAGAGCAAAAUGUCACCAUCUCUUCUUUCAAAUAAGCUUCAGAAAUAGAACCUUCAACACAAGCUUUAUUUCGAACUUUCUUUUUCAAAGAAUGCAUAAAUCUUUCGUAUGGAUACAUCCAUCUAUAUUGCACAGGUCCACCUACUUGUGCCUCGUAUGGAAGAUGAAUCAACAUAUGUUCCAUCGAAUCGAAGAAAGAUGGAGGAAAU